This 87-nucleotide transfer RNA is filed under the name Candidatus Magasanikbacteria bacterium CG10_big_fil_rev_8_21_14_0_10_36_32. Its description in RNAcentral is "tRNA-Ser". It matches the Rfam family "tRNA". Rfam says of the family: Transfer RNA (tRNA) molecules are approximately 80 nucleotides in length. Their secondary structure includes four short double-helical elements and three loops (D, anti-codon, and T loops). Lineage: Bacteria; Candidatus Magasanikiibacteriota. The record is from RNAcentral.
GGAAGGGUAGCCAAGCGGUUUACGGCAACAGUCUUGAAAACUGUCGUCCAUGAAAGUGGACCGUGGGUUCGAAUCCCACCCCUUCCG